AUGUGCCGCUGCCCGCCGGAGCACCAUGACGGCAGGAUGACCUCUGCCGAGGCAGUGGCGGUGGCUGGCGGCGCUCGGUGGGCCGGGUCCGCCGAGUGGCCCCCUGACACCCCGCAGGCCCUUCGGCGGCCUGGCCGGGCCCGGGUGGCCGUGGCUGCGUUGGUGUGGCUGCUGGCGGGAGCCAGCAUGUCGAGCCUCAACAAGUGGAUUUUCACAGUGCACGGCUUCGGGCGGCCCCUGCUGCUGUCGGCGCUGCACAUGCUGGCGGCCGCACUGGCCUGCCACCGGGGGGCGCGGCGCCCCCUGCCCGGGCAGACCCGCCGCCAGGUACUGCUGCUCAGCCUCACCUUCGGCAUCUCAAUGGCUUGCGGCAACGUGGGCCUGAGCGCCGUGCCCCUGGACCUGGCGCAGCUGGCCACCACCACCACGCCGCUCAUCACGCUGGCCCUGUCCGCGCUGCUGCUCGGCCGGCGCCACCACCCGCUGCAGUUUGCGGCCAUGGGCCCGCUCUGCCUGGGGGCCGCCUGCAGCCUGGCCGGAGAGCUCCGGACGCCCCCGGCUGGCUGCGGUUUCCUGCUGGCGGCCACCUGCCUCCGUGGCCUCAAGUCCAUUCAGCAGAGUGAGUAA
Non-coding RNA from Odocoileus virginianus texanus, 627 nucleotides. The record is from RefSeq and is a predicted model, not a curated record. NCBI's taxonomy places the organism in Eukaryota, Metazoa, Chordata, Mammalia, Artiodactyla, Cervidae.